RNAcentral lists this long non-coding RNA (1328 nucleotides) under Brassica napus (rape). RNAcentral's name for it is "long non-coding RNA (BNAP_LNC020922)". Lineage: Eukaryota; Viridiplantae; Streptophyta; Magnoliopsida; Brassicales; Brassicaceae. The record is from RNAcentral.
AAGUGACAGAGACAGAGAUGGAAAAGGACAGGCUUCAUCAUCGAGAGGCGGAGGAACUAAAAAGAUCGGUCGGCCUGCACUGUCAAAUAACGCCAAGGGUGAACGGAAAUCGAAAACAAAACCUAGGCUGAAAACAACUCCUAUGUUUUCUUCUCCUUCUGUCAGUAUCCUGGAGCAAAACAGAACAUCAUCGUCCAAACCAACUGAUAGCAACAACAGCGAGUAUAGUAACUUGGAGACACUGGACGAGACAGAGCCACUUGACCUAUCUGGCCUGCAGAUACCAGACGGUUUAGGUGGUCCAGAUGAUUUCGAUGCACAAGCAGGAGAUCUAAGCUCAUGGUUGAACAUCGAUGACGAUGCCUUACAAGAUAAUGAUAUAGAUCUCCUUGGACUUCAAAUACCCAUGGAUGAUCUUUCAGACUUAAAGAUGAUGGUAUAAGCUCCCACCCUCACUGUCUUUAUUACUGUACAGCCUCCUCUGUUAUACCAUUAGCGACAAAGAAAGAUAAGUAAAAAGGAAAAACAAGUUUUGGUCCCCAGAAAGAAUAACCACUCACCACUCACCAGUCACCAUCAUCAUGUUUAGGGGUUCUCUUUCUUUCUGUUUCUUAUAGGUUGAUUACUAGGGAUGGUGGUGAGACUUUUUUUGUUUAUUGGUGAUGGGUGGUGUAUUUGGCUCCGGCGAUUAAGAUAGGUCGGUAGUUAAACGCAAGAUAAGAAAGAGUGAUAGUAAUGUUGUGUAGUGAUAUUUUAUCAGCUUCAAGUAUGAUUUUUUUAUUUUUUUUUGCCUUACCGAACAGUCUACUAUGAUUUUGAACCCACAAACUCUCUGUUAAUACGAAUAUCUCCUCUUCUUCUUCUUUUUUUUUUUGUCUCUGGCAGCACAGUUGGGAUCACAGCCUAGCUCAUCAUUGGCAUUGCGAAUUAAGCAGAACACGGAGAAUUAUACAGAUUCUUCUGAACAUACUUUACGGGAAGGGAAAGAUGAAACGAUGUGGUUAAAUAGAACGAAGGAGAGAGAGUUGCUACUUGAUGAUGUGUGUGGGACACCACUUUCAAGCAGUACAAAAGGGAAGAGAAGUGACAGAGACAGAGAUGGAAAAGGACAGGCUUCAUCAUCGAGAGGCGGAGGAACUAAAAAGAUCGGUCGGCCUGCACUGUCAAAUAACGCCAAGGGUGAACGGAAAUCGAAAACAAAACCUAGGCUGAAAACAACUCCUAUGUUUUCUUCUCCUUCUGUCAGUAUCCUGGAGCAAAACAGAACAUCAUCGUCCAAACCAACUGAUAGCAACAACAGCGAGUAUAGUAACUUGGAGACACUGGAC